CGGGGCGUAGCGCAGUUUGGUAGCGCGCUUGGUUCGGGACUAAGAGGCCGCAGGUUCAAGUCCUGUCGCCCCGACCA
This 77-nucleotide transfer RNA is filed under the name Acidaminococcales bacterium. RNAcentral describes it as "tRNA-Pro". It matches the Rfam family "tRNA". From Rfam's summary of the family: Transfer RNA (tRNA) molecules are approximately 80 nucleotides in length. Their secondary structure includes four short double-helical elements and three loops (D, anti-codon, and T loops). Lineage: Bacteria; Bacillati; Bacillota; Negativicutes; Acidaminococcales. The record is from RNAcentral.